This 231-nucleotide ribosomal RNA is filed under the name uncultured bacterium. RNAcentral describes it as "partial 16S ribosomal RNA". It matches the Rfam family "Bacterial small subunit ribosomal RNA", at positions 99 to 334 of the family's 1533-position model. The record is from RNAcentral.
CGGACGGGGGAGUAAUGUCUGGGAAACUGCCCGAUGGAGGGGGAUAACUACUGGAAACGGUAGCUAAUACCGCAUAACGUCGCAAGACCAAAGAGGGGGACCUUGGGCCUCUUGCCAUCGGAUGUGCCCAGAUGGGAUUAGCUAGUAGGUGGGGUAACGGCUCACCUAGGCGACGAUCCCUAGCUGGUCUGAGAGGAUGACCAGCCACACUGGAACUGAGACACGGUCCAG